Molecule: ribosomal RNA, 111 nt
Filed under: uncultured Actinomycetes bacterium
Lineage: Bacteria; Bacillati; Actinomycetota; Actinomycetes
Source: RNAcentral
CGGCGGCCUUAGCGAAGGUGAAACGCCCGGUCCCAUUCCGAACCCGGAAGCUAAGCCCUUCAGCGUCGAUGGUACUGCUCUGGUGACGGAGCGGGAGAGUAGAUCGCCGCC